AAAAAAGACAGGAAGAGAAAUAAUUUCUAAUGUUUACUCUCCUCAAUUCAGAUAAAAUUAUGGGAUUAUUUACAAAAUAAAAUGAUAAAGGACUCUGAACUCCUUGGGCCACAUCCAGCAGUUCUUUGUUUAUUUUAGUGGAAAGCAAAGCAGAGCCCUAGUGGUUGCCAUGGGAAACAGGCUCACUGACACCCUUUGUCCCUUGACUUUUGCGCUGAACUUUCAAUGUGCAUGGGUAAUAAAGCCAAGAGCCCAGCCUAGGGUUCAUGCAGCUCAUCAUGCCUGGGGUCUUCAGUCACACCAUUCCUCCUCAAUGCCCUGCCAGGGUGCCUAUGGUCACCUGUAGCCAUGUCACCUGAGGAAUCUUCCUGUCGUCAUCAUUCUCUCAUGAGAGCUUGCUUUGCUUGUCAUCUUCAUGGACACAAUAGUGCCUCAGCUCUGUGUCACCCACUACUGGUUCCACUCUUUAUUGUGCAUCCACAAGGACAGCGUGCCUCAAAGCCCUCAUUACUGUGUCCUUUUGCCAUGUUUAUCCCACUUUCCUCUAAUCACAGUGGAUGUCUUUGAAAAAAUAGUUCGCUGUCAGUGGCCUUGUCUCAUUAUCCACUUUUGAGUCUUGAAUGAGGCUUCUGCCUCCACCACUCCACUCAGUUGAUAAAGCAGUGGCAGGUUUUGAGAGGUUUGUCUCCAAUUUUGAAAGAAGUUCCUCUAUGGAAAAUAUGCUAGCAAACAGUAUUGCAUGCUACAGAGAAUUCUUUUUGUGAAAGGAAGAGUCAAUCAACAAAGCAAACUUCAUUGCUGUCUUACUUUAAGCAACUGCCACAGCCACUCCAACCUUCAGCAACAACCACCUUGAUCAGCAGCCCUCAAUAUUGAGGCAAGACCUUCCACAGCAAAAACACUACAACUCACAGAAAGCUCAGAUGAUUGUUUGCACUUUUUAGCAAUAAAGUAUCUUUAAAUUAAGGUAGGUACUUUUUUAGAUAUAAUGUUAUAGCAUUCAGUAUAAUACAUGACAAUUUAAAUAUAACUUUUAUAUGCACUGGGAAACAAAAAAUAUUGUUUGACUUAUUUUAUUGGUCUCAUACCAAACCCACAAUAUCUCAGGCAUAUCUAUAUAUUAUUGUUUCAAAUUUUGUGGUGGUACAAUUGUUUGGAUUUAGACAAGUGUAUGAUGCCACUUAUCUUCUAUUACAGUAUCAUGCAGAAUAUUUGCAUCUCUCUACAAAUCUCUUGUGCUUCACCUAUUCAUCCUUUCUUCCCUCCACCAAAACCCUGGCAACCACUAAUUUUUCUAAUGUCUUCACAGUUUUGCCUUUUCCAGAAUGUCAUAUAGUUGGAAUCAUGCAGUAUAUAGCUUUUUCACACUGGCGUAUUUCAUUUAGUAAUAUGCAUUCAAAUAUCCUUGAUAUCUUUCCAUGUCUAAUGGAAUAUUAUUGCUGAAUAGUAUUCCAUUGUCUGAGUAUACCACAAUUUGUCCACUUGCCUACUGAAGGAUAUGUUGGUUGCUUCCAAGUUUGGGCAAUUAUAAAUAAAGCUGCUAUAAACAUUAGAGUGCGGACUUUUGUGUGAACAUAAGUUUUCAGCUCAUUUGGAUAAAUACCAGGGAGCACUAUUGCUGGGUUUUAUGUUAAGUUUUGCAAGAAAUGGACACACUGUCUUCCAAAGUAGCUGUACCACUUUGCAGUUCCAUCAGCAGUGAAUAAGAAGUUUAUCCACAUCCUUACCAGACCUGGAUAUUGUUAGUAUCUUUGACUUUAGCCAUUCUGAUAGGUGUGUAAUGGUAUCUCAUUGUUGUUUUAAUUUGAGAUUCCCCAAUGACAUAUGAUGUUAAAUAUAUUUUCCCAUGCUACCCAAAUAUCUUUGGUGAAGUGUCUGUUCAAAUCUUUUGCCCAUAUUCUAACUGGGUUGUUUGUUUCCUUAUUGCUGAGUUUUAAGAGUUCCUUGUAUAUUUUGAAUAUAAGUGCUGGAUCAGAUAUGUGUUUUGCAAAUAUUAUCUCUUGGUCUGUGACUUAUCUUUUCAUUCUCUAAAUAGCAUCUUUGCAUAGCCUUUUUAAUUUUAAUAAAGUCAAGCUCAUCAAUUUUUCUUUCAGCAAUUGUUCUUUUGUGUCGUGUAUAAAAAGUCAUUGACAACCUAAGGUCACCUUGUUUUUCACCUAUUUUAUCUUCUUGAAGUUGUAUAGUUUAUAUUCAUAUAUUGUUUAUAUAUUUAUAUUAUAUAUACACACAAUUUAUUUUAGUUACUUUUGUGAAAAAUGUAAGGUCGGUGUCCAAUUUCUUUCUUUCAUUCUUUUUUUUUUCUUUUUAGAGAUGGGGGUCUUGCUGUGUUGCCCAGGAUGGUCUCAAAUUCCGGCCUCAGGCAGUCCUCCUGCCUUGACCUUCCAACAUGCUGGGAUUACAGUGAUGCCAGUGGAACAAUGGAGCAUGCUGAGGGCAGGGGAGACACAAGCAGUAUUCACGGUUACCGCCAGUCCUUACUCUGCCAUUUACAGUAUUUCUGCAAUGACUCAUGAGCACAGAAUUACAGCAGCCCCUCUAUGAGUGGUAGCCCAGGAGGUUCGAGAGGAGUGGAAAGAAAGUGCAUUAUAUCUAGGACUAAGUGAGAGUAUUGCAGCCUCCAGAGACUACACUUUUCAAAUGAACCAAAACUUGCACCAGAUGUGGAAAGAAAGCAAUCAAAUUCUAAGACACAAGAAUAACUAAGGGACCUAAUGAUCUCUUACUCACUGUGUUACCUCUAGCUGGCCCUUUUCACUUAAAAUGGUAACAUAGAAAGAAAGGAAAAGAUAGGGCCACUAAUAUUAAUAGUUCCUUUUCUUUCAGUCCUUUCUUACUCAUCAAUUAUCCAAAAGUAAAGAGUGUUGGUAGAAUGUGCAUGUAUCAAGAUGUGAAAAAAAUAGUUUACUUAUUUUUGUGUAGUAUUUCUACUGUUCUGAUGUGAAUAAAAUACAUAGGCAUUAUGAGCUAUGAAAUAGGAAUUGUGUCAUUUCAGUGAUUCUAUGUAUCAGUUAAAGGCUCUUACAUUAGCAUUUAAAAUAGUUCCACAAUAUGAUAAUAUUCAUGCUAAUAAUUUAAAAAUUUAUUUAUUCUUCACUUAGAAGGACAUUAACUAAAUAUGAGAUCAAAAGACAGUCUGUAAAGAAAGAAAAAAGCUUUAUAUUUUGAUAGCCUCAAUGACAUUCUUUUCCUACUUCUUAAAUAAGAGGCCCCAUAUUUUCAUUUUGCACAGGGCCCUGCAAUUUAUGUAGCCAACCCUGCCUUUGGUGUUUCUAAUGCCUCCUGUGUACAUAGUGCUUAGGGAUAUUUGGGGCCUUUUUUUGCUAUUAAUCAUGAAAGCACUGAAAGGUCUCAUGCAAGAAAGACAUAUAUAUAUAUAUAUAUAUGUUUUUCUAUAUAUGUGAUUUUAUACACACACACACACAUAUAUAUAUACACAUAUAUACACAGACAUACAAAUACAUAUAUGCAAAUCACACAGGCAUCAGUGUGAAGAAUGAGUUGGAUUUAAAGCUCUUUUUCACGUAUCAAGUGAUAAACUGUAGAUUCUGAGUAAGCUGAGAUCACAUAACAACCCCUCAGAACAAAAACACAACAACUAAAACAAUGACAACCUUGUACUUUUGCAUUUCAUUCAUGUCUUAGAGAGUACAGUUUAUGAACCCAUAAUUUCAUCUCACUCUAGGGAAAACCUAAUGAUAUGUUUUCUGAAUAAGAAACUGAGUUGAAAAGAGAUUUUUUUUCAAGUAUCAGCAAGUCAGCAAGUGCUAGCAAUGAAUUGUGAACCCAGGUGUGCCAGCAACUGAAUAGUUUGCCCCAAGCACCAUUCCUAUGGAUUAUCUCCAUAUGAAAGAUCACAAAAUCACUGUGUCUCCACAAAUCCUUUUCACACUGUCGGAGGACAGUGGCCACAUGCUGUAACGCUUGCACUAAAGCCACAGCAAUUUCUCCUUUACUUUUUCCACAAAAAGUCCACAACCAGCUCCUUAGACUAUUAAAUAUAUUGUAACACAUUCAUAUGGAGUAAUAUUUUGUGAUCUUUCAAAACAGAGAGACAGAGCUGUGCAGAUACCCCUUGUUUUAUUGCACUUAGCAAAUGUUGCAUUUUUCACAAAUUGAAGGUUUGGGCCAAACCUGCAUCAAACAAGUCUAUCAGUGCCAUUUUAACAACAGCAUGUGUUCACUUUGUGUCUCUGAGCCACAUUUUAGUAAUUCUCAUACUAUUUCAGGCUUUUUCAUUAUUAUAUCUGUUAUGGUGGUUUGUGAUCAGUGAUCUCUAAUGUUAUAAUUGUAAUUGUUUUGGGGUACCACAAGCCAUGCCCACAUAAGAUAGCCACCUUAAUUGAUAACUGUUGUGUGUGUUUGAGUUGCUCUACCCAGUGGCCAUUCCCCAUCUCUAUCUCUCUCCAUGGGCUUCCCUCUUCCCUGACAGAAAACAAUAUGGAGAUUCAGCCAACUAAUAACCUUCUAAUGGCCUUGAAGUGUUUCAGUGACAGGAGGAGUUGCAUGUCUCUCACUUUAAAUCAAAAGCUAG
Molecule: long non-coding RNA, 4531 nt
Filed under: Homo sapiens (human)
Lineage: Eukaryota; Metazoa; Chordata; Mammalia; Primates; Hominidae
Description: HSALNT0122323
Source: RNAcentral